AGUGAACGCUGGCGGUAGGCCUAACACAUGCAAGUCGAACGGCGGCACAGUAAGAGCUUGCUCUUACGGGUGGCGAGUGGCGGACGGGUGAGGAAUACAUCGGAAUCUACUUUUUCGUGGGGGAUAACGUAGGGAAACUUACGCUAAUACCGCAUACGACCUACGGGUGAAAGCAGGGGAUCUUCGGACCUUGCGCGAUUGAAUGAGCCGAUGUCGGAUUAGCUAGUUGGCGGGGUAAAGGCCCACCAAGGCGACGAUCCGUAGCUGGUCUGAGAGGAUGAUCAGCCACACUGGAACUGAGACACGGUCCAGACUCCUACGGGAGGCAGCAGUGGGGAAUAUUGGACAAUGGGCGCAAGCCUGAUCCAGCCAUACCGCGUGGGUGAAGAAGGCCUUCGGGUUGUAAAGCCCUUUUGUUGGGAAAGAAAAGCAGCAGGUUAAUACCCCGCUGUUCUGACGGUACCCAUAGAAUAAGCACCGGCUAACUUCGUG
RNAcentral lists this ribosomal RNA (492 nucleotides) under uncultured bacterium. RNAcentral describes it as "partial 16S ribosomal RNA". It matches the Rfam family "Bacterial small subunit ribosomal RNA", at positions 29 to 507 of the family's 1533-position model. The record is from RNAcentral.